GUCCCCUUAAACCAAGCUCUGA
Molecule: microRNA, 22 nt
Filed under: Taeniopygia guttata (zebra finch)
Lineage: Eukaryota; Metazoa; Chordata; Aves; Passeriformes; Estrildidae
Description: tgu-miR-7645-5p
Source: miRBase by way of RNAcentral